AAUAGAUACCCCGGUAGUCCACGCCGUAAACGAUGAGUGCUAAGUGUUAGGGGGUUUCCGCCCCUUAGUGCUGCAACUAACGCAUUAAGCACUCCGCCUGGGGAGUACGGUCGCAAGACUGAAACUCAAAGGAAUUGACGGGGGCCCGCACAAGCGGUGGAGCAUGUGGUUUAAUUCGAAGCAACGCGAAGAACCUUACCAGGUCUUGACAUCCCGCUGACCGCUAUGGAGACAUAGCUUUCCCUUCGGGGUACAGUGGUGACAGGUGGUGCAUGGUUGUCGUCAGCUCGUGUCGUGAGAUGUUGGGUUAAGUCCCGCAACGAGCGCAACCCUUGUCCUUAGUUGCCAUCAUUCAGGUUGGGCACUCUAAGGAGACUGCCGUACAAAUACGGAGGAAGGUGGGGAUGACGUCAAAUCAUCAUGCCCCUUAUGACCUGGGCUACACACGUGCUACAAUGGACGGUACAAACGGUUGCGAAGUCGCGAGACGGAGCCAAUCCGAGAAAGCCGUUCUCAGUUCGGAUUGCAGGCUGCAACUCG
RNAcentral lists this ribosomal RNA (540 nucleotides) under uncultured bacterium. RNAcentral's name for it is "bacterial SSU rRNA". It matches the Rfam family "Bacterial small subunit ribosomal RNA", at positions 777 to 1314 of the family's 1533-position model. The record is from RNAcentral.